RNAcentral lists this ribosomal RNA (483 nucleotides) under uncultured bacterium. RNAcentral's name for it is "partial 16S ribosomal RNA". It matches the Rfam family "Bacterial small subunit ribosomal RNA", at positions 28 to 507 of the family's 1533-position model. The record is from RNAcentral.
GAUGAACGCUGGCGGCGUGCCUAACACAUGCAAGUCGAACGGAGUCGGGUUGGAAAUCUCUUCGGAGAUGGAAUGCUCGACUUAGUGGCGGACGGGUGAGUAACGCGUGAGCAAUCUGCCUUUAAGAGGGGGAUAACAGUCGGAAACGGCUGCUAAUACCGCAUAAAGCAUUAAAUUCGCAUGUUUUUGAUGCCAAAGGAGCAAUCCGCUUUUAGAUGAGCUCGCGUCUGAUUAGCUAGUUGGCGGGGUAACGGCCCACCAAGGCGACGAUCAGUAGCCGGACUGAGCGGUUGAACGGCCACAUUGGGACUGAGACACGGCCCAGACUCCUACGGGAGGCAGCAGUGGGGAAUAUUGCGCAAUGGGGGAAACCCUGACGCAGCAACGCCGCGUGAUUGAAGAAGGCCUUCGGGUUGUAAAGAUCUUUAAUCAGGGACGAAACAAAUGACGGUACCUGAAGAAUAAGCUCCGGCUAACUACGUG